RNAcentral lists this ribosomal RNA (406 nucleotides) under uncultured bacterium. RNAcentral's name for it is "partial 16S ribosomal RNA". It matches the Rfam family "Bacterial small subunit ribosomal RNA", at positions 29 to 526 of the family's 1533-position model. The record is from RNAcentral.
AUUGAACGCUGGCGGCAGGCCUAACACAUGCAAGUCGAACGAGUGGCGGACGGGUGAGUAAUGUCUGGGAAACUGCCUGCUGGAGGGGGCUAACUACUGGAAACGGUAGCUAAUACCGCAUACCAUCAGAUGUGCCCAGAUGGGAGUAGCUAGUUGGUGGGGUAACGGCGCACCAAGGCGACGAGCCCUAGCUGGUCUGAGAGGAUGACCAGCCACACUGUAACGUAGACACGGUCCAGACUCCUACGGGAGGCAGCAGUGGGGAAUAUGGAACAAUGGGCGGAAGCCUGAUGCAGCCAGGCCGCGGGUAUGAAGAAGGCCGUCGGGUUGUAAAGUACUUUCAGCGGGGAGGCGUUACCCGCAGAAGAAGCACCGGCUAACUCCGUGCCAGCCGCCGCGGUAAUAC